Molecule: ribosomal RNA, 459 nt
Filed under: uncultured bacterium
Lineage: Bacteria
Description: partial 16S ribosomal RNA
Rfam family: Bacterial small subunit ribosomal RNA
Source: RNAcentral
CCUACGGGUGGCUGCAGUGAGGAAUAUUGGUCAAUGGACGGAAGUCUGAACCAGCCAUGCCGCGUGCAGGAAGACGGCUCUAUGAGUUGUAAACUGCUUUUGUACAAGGGUAAACCUGAAUACGUGUAUUCAGCUGAAAGUACUGUACGAAUAAGGAUCGGCUAACUCCGUGCCAGCAGCCGCGGUAAUACGGAGGAUGCGAGCGUUAUCCGGAUUUAUUGGGUUUAAAGGGUGCGUAGGCGGGUUAUCAAGUCAGCUGUAAAAUCGUGGAGCUCAACUCCAUCCAGCCGUUGAAACUGAUGAUCUUGAGUGGGCGUGAAGUAUGCGGAAUGCGUGGUGUAGCGGUGAAAUGCAUAGAUAUCACGCAGAACUCCGAUUGCGAAGGCAGCAUACCGGCGCCCGACUGACGCUGAAGCACGAAAGCGUGGGUAUCGAACAGGAUUAGAUACCCGGGUAGUC